This 465-nucleotide ribosomal RNA is filed under the name uncultured bacterium. RNAcentral's name for it is "partial 16S ribosomal RNA". It matches the Rfam family "Bacterial small subunit ribosomal RNA", at positions 338 to 795 of the family's 1533-position model. The record is from RNAcentral.
CCUACGGGAGGCAGCAGUGGGGAAUAUUGCGCAAUGGGCGAAAGCCUGACGCAGCGACGCCGCGUGAGGGAUGAAGGUCUUCGGAUCGUAAACCUCUGUCAGCAGGGAAGAACGGUCACUGUGCUAAUCAGCAGUGAAUUGACGGUACCUGCAAAGGAAGCACCGGCUAACUCCGUGCCAGCAGCCGCGGUAAUACGGAGGGUGCGAGCGUUAAUCGGAAUUACUGGGCGUAAAGCGCUCGUAGGCGGUAUGUCAAGUCAAGGGUGAAAUCCCCGGGCUCAACGUGGGAACUGCCUUUGAAACUGGCAGACUGGAGUGUGUGAGAGGAGAGUGGAAUUCCAGGUGUAGGAGUGAAAUCCGUAGAUAUCUGGAGGAACAUCAGUGGCGAAGGCGACUAUCUGGCACGUAACUGACGCUGAGGAGCGAAAGCGUGGGUAGCAAACAGGAUUAGAUACCCCAGUAGUC